RNAcentral lists this ribosomal RNA (464 nucleotides) under Vreelandella stevensii. Its description in RNAcentral is "partial 16S ribosomal RNA". It matches the Rfam family "Bacterial small subunit ribosomal RNA", at positions 339 to 795 of the family's 1533-position model. Lineage: Bacteria; Pseudomonadati; Pseudomonadota; Gammaproteobacteria; Oceanospirillales; Halomonadaceae. The record is from RNAcentral.
CCUCGGGCGGCAGCAGUGGGGAAUAUUGGACAAUGGGCGAAAGCCUGAUCCAGCCAUGCCGCGUGUGUGAAGAAGGCCUUCGGGUUGUAAAGCACUUUCAGUGGGGAAGAAAGCCUUGGGGCUAAUACCCUCGAGGAAGGACAUCACCCACAGAAGAAGCACCGGCUAACUCCGUGCCAGCAGCCGCGGUAAUACGGAGGGUGCGAGCGUCAAUCGGAAUUACUGGGCGUAAAGCGCGCGUAGGCGGUCUGAUAAGCCGGUUGUGAAAGCCCCGGGCUCAACCUGGGAACGGCAUCCGGAACUGUCAGGCUAGAGUGCAGGAGAGGAAGGUAGAAUUCCCGGUGUAGCGGUGAAAUGCGUAGAGAUCGGGAGGAAUACCAGUGGCGAAGGCGGCCUUCUGGACUGACACUGACGCUGAGGUGCGAAAGCGUGGGUAGCAAACAGGAUUAGAUACCCUGGUAGUC